Molecule: ribosomal RNA, 492 nt
Filed under: uncultured bacterium
Lineage: Bacteria
Description: bacterial SSU rRNA
Rfam family: Bacterial small subunit ribosomal RNA
Source: RNAcentral
AUUGAACGCUGGCGGCGCGCUUAACACAUGCAAGUCGAUCGGUAACAGGUGUAGCAAUACAUGCUGACGAGAGGCGGACGGGUGAGUAAUGCUUGGGAAUCUGCCUAUUAGUGGGGGACAACCCGGGGAAACGUCGGGCUAAUACCGCAUACGCUCUACGGAGGAAAGCCGGGGACCGCAAGGCCUGGCGCUAAUAGAUGAGCCCAAGUCGGAUUAGCUAGUUGGUAGGGUAACGGCCUACCAAGGCGACAAUCCGUAGCUGGUCUGAGAGGACGACCAGCCACACCGGAACUGAGACACGGUCCGGACUCCUACGGGAGGCAGCAGUGGGGAAUAUUGGACAAUGGGGGCAACCCUGAUCCAGCGACGCCGCGUGGGUGAAGAAGGCCUGCGGGUUGUAAAGCCCUUUCGGUGGGGAAGAAAAGUCUCGACCUAAUACGUCGGGACCUUGACGUAACCCACUAAAGAAGCACCGGCUAACUCUGUGCCAGC